Long non-coding RNA from Entelurus aequoreus (snake pipefish), 841 nucleotides. RefSeq lists it as uncharacterized. The transcript is spliced from 3 exons. The record is from RefSeq and is a predicted model, not a curated record. NCBI's taxonomy places the organism in Eukaryota, Metazoa, Chordata, Actinopteri, Syngnathiformes, Syngnathidae.
UUCAAAUGGAGCUUCAAGCUUCAAUGCUCAGGCUGCUGCCCCCGCGACCCAACUGGGGAUAAGCAGAAUAUGGAUGAAUGGCCAUGCUGUCUGUCCAUGUGUGCAUGAGAGGAGGGGCUGUCAUGUGACUUCAUGUAAUUACAUGCACCUGCCACCAUUGUCACAAUGACACAGCAUUUUAUGUAGGGUUUGUUGAAAAACUUCAUGCCGAACAAAGUCUGAUUGUGGUCCAACGCUUCGAGAUAUCGACUUUUCGUGAAAACUGUGAGCUCCUCAAGGCUUUGAGAAAUGUUCCAGUGUUCUCAGAUUUCCGAUAAAUGGAAAAAUGGCAGAGUAGAGCGAGUAGGAAAAUGAGAAAUCUUGUGCUAUUGCUAGUAUAUUCUGUCAUGUGAUGGCCAAACCAAGCCAAGAUGGCUGUUGGACAGCAAGCAGCUCACAAACUAAGGACAAAAGAGGCUUAAAAUCUUCCCGCAAAAAGCAGAUACAAGCAAAAAAUCAAACUAUUCGAUGGAAUGGAUCCCUCUACUUUAUCAAAAAAAGAUUUGUCGAGUGAUACCAAGGAUUAGAUGUUGGUCGCCUUCCCGGACAGAUGGAAACUUGGAAAAGCAUGGACGUCUACAACUUCUUUGUGUGUGGUUGGGUCUCCUGGAGAAAUAUGCAUCGUUUUUGCUCGGGGAGGUGAGGGGAGCAGUGGGCAGCAGCGGCACCGCGCCCGGGAAUCAUUUUUGGUGAUUUAACCCCCAAUUCCAACCCUUGAUGCUGAGUGCCAAGCAGGGAAGAAUGCUGGAAAACUUCACAGACGGAAAAGCUGAACCACGAAGAGACUGAUACGGUUCCUGGG